RNAcentral lists this ribosomal RNA (1372 nucleotides) under uncultured bacterium. Its description in RNAcentral is "bacterial SSU rRNA". It matches the Rfam family "Bacterial small subunit ribosomal RNA", at positions 28 to 1381 of the family's 1533-position model. The record is from RNAcentral.
GAUGAACGCUGGCGGCGUGCCUAAUACAUGCAAGUCGAGCGAACGGACGAGAAGCUUGCUUCUCUGAUGUUAGCGGCGGACGGGUGAGUAACACGUGGAUAACCUACCUAUAAGACUGGGAUAACUUCGGGAAACCGGAGCUAAUACCGAAUAAUAUUUUGAACCGCAUGGUUCAAAAGUGAAAGACGGUCUUGCUGUCACUUAUAGAUGGAUCCGCGCUGCAUUAGCUAGUUGGUAAGGUAACGGCUUACCAAGGCAACGAUGCAUAGCCGACCUGAGAGGGUGAUCGGCCACACUGGAACUGAGACACGGUCCAGACUCCUACGGGAGGCAGCAGUAGGGAAUCUUCCGCAAUGGGCGAAAGCCUGACGGAGCAACGCCGCGUGAGUGAUGAAGGUCUUCGGAUCGUAAAGCUCUGUUAUUAGGGAAGAACAUAUGUGUAAGUAACUGUGCACAUCUUGACGGUACCUAAUCAGAAAGCCACGGCUAACUACGUGCCAGCAGCCGCGGUAAUACGUAGGUGGCAAGCGUUAUCCGGAAUUAUUGGGCGUAAAGCGCGCGUAGGCGGUUUUUUAAGUCUGAUGUGAAAGCCCACGGCUCAACCGUGGAGGGUCAUUGGAAACUGGAAAACUUGAGUGCAGAAGAGGAAAGUGGAAUUCCAUGUGUAGCGGUGAAAUGCGCAGAGAUAUGGAGGAACACCAGUGGCGAAGGCGACUUUCUGGUCUGUAACUGACGCUGAUGUGCGAAAGCGUGGGGAUCAAACAGGAUUAGAUACCCUGGUAGUCCACGCCGUAAACGAUGAGUGCUAAGUGUUAGGGGGUUUCCGCCCCUUAGUGCUGCAGCUAACGCAUUAAGCACUCCGCCUGGGGAGUACGACCGCAAGGUUGAAACUCAAAGGAAUUGACGGGGACCCGCACAAGCGGUGGAGCAUGUGGUUUAAUUCGAAGCAACGCGAAGAACCUUACCAAAUCUUGACAUCCUUUGACAACUCUAGAGAUAGAGCUUUCCCCUUCGGGGGACAAAGUGACAGGUGGUGCAUGGUUGUCGUCAGCUCGUGUCGUGAGAUGUUGGGUUAAGUCCCGCAACGAGCGCAACCCUUAAGCUUAGUUGCCAUCAUUAAGUUGGGCACUCUAAGUUGACUGCCGGUGACAAACCGGAGGAAGGUGGGGAUGACGUCAAAUCAUCAUGCCCCUUAUGAUUUGGGCUACACACGUGCUACAAUGGACAAUACAAAGGGCAGCGAAACCGCGAGGUCAAGCAAAUCCCAUAAAGUUGUUCUCAGUUCGGAUUGUAGUCUGCAACUCGACUACAUGAAGCUGGAAUCGCUAGUAAUCGUAGAUCAGCAUGCUACGGUGAAUACGUUCCCGGGUCU